CCGCGUGAACGAUGAAGGCUUUCGGGUCGUAAAGUUCUGUCCUAGGGGACGAUAAUGACGGUACCCUAAGAGGAAGCCCCGGCUAACUACGUGCCAGCAGCCGCGGUAAUACGUAGGGGGCGAGCGUUGUCCGGAUUUAUUGGGCGUAAAGGGUUCGCAGGCGGUCUCUUAAGUUAGAUGUGAAAGAUCACGGCUCAACCGUGGUAAGCAUUUCAAACUGGGAGACUUGAGUUAAGGAGAGGAAAGUGGAAUUCCUAGUGUAGCGGUGAAAUGCGUAGAUAUUAGGAGGAAUACCAAUGGCGAAGGCGACUUUCUGGACUUAUACUGACGCUGAGGAACGAAAGCGUGGGGAGCAAACAGGAUUAGAUACCCUGGUAGUCCACGCCGUAAACGAUGAGUGCUAGGUGUCGGGGGUCAAACCUCGGUGCCGCAGCUAACGCAUUAAGCACUCCGCCUGGGGAGUACGUACGCAAGUAUGAAACUCAAAGGAAUUGUACGGG
RNAcentral lists this ribosomal RNA (500 nucleotides) under uncultured Tissierella sp. Its description in RNAcentral is "bacterial SSU rRNA". It matches the Rfam family "Bacterial small subunit ribosomal RNA", at positions 397 to 918 of the family's 1533-position model. Lineage: Bacteria; Bacillati; Bacillota; Tissierellia; Tissierellales; Tissierellaceae. The record is from RNAcentral.